GACGAACGCUGGCGGCGUGCUUAGCACAUGCAAGUCGAACGGAAAGGCCCUGCUUUUGUGGGGUGCUCGAGUGGCGAACGGGUGAGUAACACGUGAGUAACCUGCCCUUGACUUUGGGAUAACUUCAGGAAACUGGGGCUAAUACCGGAUAGGAGCUCCUGCUGCAUGGUGGGGGUUGGAAAGUUUCGGCGGUUGGGGAUGGACUCGCGGCUUAUCAGCUUGUUGGUGGGGUAGUGGCUUACCAAGGCUUUGACGGGUAGCCGGCCUGAGAGGGUGAACGGCCACAUUGGGCCUGAGAUACGGCCCAGACUCCUACGGGAGGCAGCAGUGGGGAAUAUUGCACAAUGGGCGGAAGCCUGAUGAAGCAACGCCGCGUGCGGGAUGACGGCCUUCGGGUUGUAAACCGCUUUCGCCUGUGACGAAGCGUGAGUGACGGUAAUGGGUAAAGAAGCACCGGCUAACUACGUG
RNAcentral lists this ribosomal RNA (468 nucleotides) under uncultured bacterium. RNAcentral describes it as "partial 16S ribosomal RNA". It matches the Rfam family "Bacterial small subunit ribosomal RNA", at positions 28 to 507 of the family's 1533-position model. The record is from RNAcentral.